Molecule: ribosomal RNA, 260 nt
Filed under: uncultured bacterium
Lineage: Bacteria
Description: partial small subunit ribosomal RNA
Rfam family: Bacterial small subunit ribosomal RNA
Source: RNAcentral
AGGACGAACGCUGGCGGCGCGCUUAACACAUGCAAGUCGAACGGUGAUGUAGCACUUGUGUUACGGAUCAGUGGCGAACGGGUGAGUAACACGUGAGUAACCUGCCCCAGACUCUGGGAUAACUCCGGGAAACCGGUGCUAAUACUGGAUAUGACGCCAAGCCGCAUGGUUAUGGUGUGGAAAGAUUUUUUGGUCUGGGAUGGGCUCGCGGCCUAUCAGCUUGUUGGUGAGGUAGUGGCUUACCAAGGCGACGACGGGUA